RNAcentral lists this ribosomal RNA (533 nucleotides) under uncultured bacterium. RNAcentral's name for it is "bacterial SSU rRNA". It matches the Rfam family "Bacterial small subunit ribosomal RNA", at positions 977 to 1509 of the family's 1533-position model. The record is from RNAcentral.
GGCCUUGACAUGCUAAGAACUUUCCAGAGAUGGAUUGGUGCCUUCGGGAACUUAGAUACAGGUGCUGCAUGGCUGUCGUCAGCUCGUGUCGUGAGAUGUUGGGUUAAGUCCCGCAACGAGCGCAACCCUUUUCCUUAUUUGCCAGCGGGUUAAGCCGGGAACUUUAAGGAUACUGCCAGUGACAAACUGGAGGAAGGCGGGGACGACGUCAAGUCAUCAUGGCCCUUACGGCCAGGGCUACACACGUGCUACAAUGGUCGGUACAAAGGGUUGCUACCUCGCGAGAGGAUGCUAAUCUCAAAAAGCCGAUCGUAGUCCGGAUCGCAGUCUGCAACUCGACUGCGUGAAGUCGGAAUCGCUAGUAAUCGCGGAUCAGAAUGCCGCGGUGAAUACGUUCCCGGGCCUUGUACACACCGCCCGUCACACCAUGGGAGUUUGUUGCACCAGAAGUAGGUAGUCUAACCGCAAGGAGGACGCUUACCACGGUGUGGCCGAUGACUGGGGUGAAGUCGUAACAAGGUAGGCGUAGAUGA